GACGAACGCUGGCGGCGUGCUUAACACAUGCAAGUCGAAUGGAAAGGCGCUGCUUGCAGGGUACUCGAGUGGCGAACGGGUGAGUAACACGGGGGGUAACUGCCCUUCACUUCUGGAUAAGCCUGGGGAACUGGGUCUAAUUCCCGAAAGGUGCCAUGGUUCGUCUGAUGGUCGGUAGGUUUUUUCGUUGUAGCAUGAGCUCACGGACUAUCAGCUUGUUGGUGUGGUAAGGGCAUACCAAGGCGGCGAGGGGUAGCCGGCCUGAGAGGGUGGACGGCCAGAGUGAGGCUGAGAAACGGCCCGGACGCCAGCGGGAGGCAACAGUGGGGAAUGUUGCAAAAUGGGAGCAAGCCUGAUGGCGCGAGGCCGCGUGGGCGAUGGCGGGCUUCGGGUUGUAAACUCCUUUCGCUAGCCAAGAAGCUUUUUGUGACGGUACCUAGAUAAGAAGCCCCGGCUAACUACGUG
Molecule: ribosomal RNA, 465 nt
Filed under: uncultured bacterium
Lineage: Bacteria
Description: partial 16S ribosomal RNA
Rfam family: Bacterial small subunit ribosomal RNA
Source: RNAcentral